CUGGCGGCAGGCCUAACACAUGCAAGUCGAGCGGUAGAGAGAAGCUUGCUUCUCUUGAGAGCGGCGGACGGGUGAGUAAUGCCUAGGAAUCUGCCUGGUAGUGGGGGAUAACGUCCGGAAACGGACGCUAAUACCGCAUACGUCCUACGGGAGAAAGCAGGGGACCUUCGGGCCUUGCGCUAUCAGAUGAGCCUAGGUCGGAUUAGCUAGUUGGUGGGGUAAUGGCUCACCAAGGCGACGAUCCGUAACUGGUCUGAGAGGAUGAUCAGUCACACUGGAACUGAGACACGGUCCAGACUCCUACGGGAGGCAGCAGUGGGGAAUAUUGGACAAUGGGCGAAAGCCUGAUCCAGCCAUGCCGCGUGUGUGAAGAAGGUCUUCGGAUUGUAAAGCACUUUAAGUUGGGAGGAAGGGCAGU
RNAcentral lists this ribosomal RNA (418 nucleotides) under Pseudomonas sp. A8.8. Its description in RNAcentral is "bacterial SSU rRNA". It matches the Rfam family "Bacterial small subunit ribosomal RNA", at positions 36 to 456 of the family's 1533-position model. Lineage: Bacteria; Pseudomonadati; Pseudomonadota; Gammaproteobacteria; Pseudomonadales; Pseudomonadaceae. The record is from RNAcentral.